RNAcentral lists this ribosomal RNA (560 nucleotides) under uncultured euryarchaeote. Its description in RNAcentral is "bacterial SSU rRNA". It matches the Rfam family "Archaeal small subunit ribosomal RNA", at positions 342 to 903 of the family's 1478-position model. Lineage: Archaea; Methanobacteriati; Methanobacteriota. The record is from RNAcentral.
CGAAAACUUGGCAAUGCGAGAAAUCGUGACCAGGGAACUCCAAGUGCAUCGGGUAAGACCGAUGCUUUUCUUGACUCUUCAAAGGUCUUGGAAUAAGGGGUGGGUAAGGACGGUGCCAGCCGCCGCGGUAAUACCGGCGCCUCAAGUGGUAGUCGCUUUUAUUGGGCCUAAAACGUCCGUAGCCGGUUUGGUACAUUCGUGGGUAAAUCAAGGCGCUCAACGUCUUGAAUUCUGCGAGCACGGCCAGACUUGGGACCGGGUGAGGUGUGGGGUACUCUCAGGGUAGGGGUAAAAUCCUGUCAUCCUGAGAGGACCACCUGUUGCGAAGGCGCCACACUAGAACGGAUCCGACGGUCAGGGACGAAGCCUAGGGGCACGAACCGGAUUAGAUACCCGGGUAGUCCUAGGUGUAAACGCUGUGGACUUGAUGUUGGGAGUGCUCCGAGCACCCUCAGUGUCGAAGCGAAGGUGAUAAGUCCACUGCCUGGGGAGUACGGUCGCAAGGCUGAAACUUAAAGGAAUUGGCGGGGGAGCACUGCAACCUGAGGAUUGUGCGGUUU